GCAGAUAUGGCGGAAUGGCAGACGCGCUAGAUUCAGGUUCUAGUGAGAGCAAUCUCGUGCAGGUUCAAGUCCUGUUAUCUGCACCA
Molecule: transfer RNA, 86 nt
Filed under: Candidatus Onthoplasma faecipullorum
Lineage: Bacteria; Bacillati; Bacillota; Clostridia; Christensenellales; Christensenellaceae
Description: tRNA-Leu
Rfam family: tRNA
About the family: Transfer RNA (tRNA) molecules are approximately 80 nucleotides in length.
Source: RNAcentral